This 52-nucleotide transfer RNA is filed under the name Paramacropostrongylus typicus. RNAcentral's name for it is "tRNA-Leu". Lineage: Eukaryota; Metazoa; Nematoda; Chromadorea; Rhabditida; Strongylidae. The record is from RNAcentral.
GCAUAAGUAGUAUAUUAAAUAUAUUAGAUUUAGAUUCUAAAGAAAUUAAGUU